Pelobates cultripes (western spadefoot toad) is the source of this 157-nucleotide non-coding RNA. The record is from the annotation of a GenBank genome assembly. NCBI's taxonomy places the organism in Eukaryota, Metazoa, Chordata, Amphibia, Anura, Pelobatidae.
GCAGACACAUUCCAGCCAAUCAGCAGCAGACCCUCCCUCCCAGACCCUCCCACCUCCUGGACAGCAUCCCUUUUGAAGCUGCAUUCUUAGUGAGCUGUCCAGGAGGUGGGAGGGUCUGGGAGGGAGGGUCUGCUGCUGAUUGGCUGGAAUGUGUCUG